This 424-nucleotide ribosomal RNA is filed under the name uncultured prokaryote. RNAcentral's name for it is "bacterial SSU rRNA". It matches the Rfam family "Bacterial small subunit ribosomal RNA", at positions 355 to 796 of the family's 1533-position model. The record is from RNAcentral.
UGGGGAAUAUUGGACAAUGGGCGCAAGCCUGAUCCAGCCAUGCCGCGUGGAUGAAGAAGGCCCUAGGGUUGUAAAAUCCUUUCGCUAGGGCAGAUAAUGACGGUACCUAGACAAGAAGCCCCGGCUAACUCCGUGCCAGCAGCCGCGGUAAUACGGAGGGGGUUAGCGUUGUUCGGAAUUACUGGGCGUAAAGCGCACGUAGGCGGACUAUUAAGUCAGGGGUGAAAUCCCGGGGCUCAACCCCGGAACUGCCUUUGAUACUGGUAGUCUUGAGUUCGAGAGAGGUGAGUGGAAUUCCGAGUGUAGAGGUGAAAUUCGUAGAUAUUCGGAGGAACACCAGUGGCGAAGGCGGCUCACUGGCUCGAUACUGACGCUGAGGUGCGAAAGCGUGGGGAGCAAACAGGAUUAGAUACCCGCGUAGUCC